ACCACCCACACAUUUAAUCUGCUUCCCCCACCAAGAACCCCCGAAAGCUCAAGUUUUGCUUGGUUGGAAGACGAAAUCAGAGUGUUUGCCAUGAAAAAGUAACCACUUUCAAAGACACAUAACUCCCCCACAAUUUCAUACACUUUCCGUUAUCCUGAUUCCAUUCUAAAGGCAGAGAACCAAUCCUAGAUAAAAAAAAUAAAAGAAAGAUAUAGACACUUUUAUAAAAAAGGAGACACUCAGCAUAUUAAUAUAGAAAUCCAUUUCUGCAUAUAUGAUAUUUGUAGUACCACUUCAUACAAACCGACGACGUAUAUUAAUAUUGAUACAUUAUUCAAUAUUUUUCUUCUCAAUAUUUAUAUUACAAAAAUUAUCUUAUUGAAUUAAAA
This 389-nucleotide long non-coding RNA is filed under the name Trifolium pratense (red clover). Its description in RNAcentral is "long non-coding RNA (TPRA_LNC004447)". The record is from RNAcentral. Lineage: Eukaryota; Viridiplantae; Streptophyta; Magnoliopsida; Fabales; Fabaceae.